This 66-nucleotide transfer RNA is filed under the name Gastroptychus investigatoris. RNAcentral's name for it is "tRNA-Glu". Lineage: Eukaryota; Metazoa; Arthropoda; Malacostraca; Decapoda; Chirostylidae. The record is from RNAcentral.
GUUUUUAUAGUGUAAAAAACACAUCAUAUUUUCACUGUGAUAUUAAAGUAUAACCUUUUAAAAACU